Molecule: non-coding RNA, 945 nt
Organism: Cinara cedri
Lineage: Eukaryota; Metazoa; Arthropoda; Insecta; Hemiptera; Aphididae
Source: the annotation of a GenBank genome assembly
CCUAAAAUAAAUCUGCAUUAUUUGUCAGCGUAAAAUAUUUCAAUACAAAUACAAAUUACACUACACACGCAAAAGUAGCAUUGUCAUUAAAACGAUGUUCCUGAAAGAUGUCAUCACAUAAGAAAACUCCUUACCGAUCAAUUUGCUGCGUCAUACAAUUGGACUGGAGCAAAAGGAAAAAAAAAAUCUUUAUCGUGUUUAUACCCGUCUAAGAUAAUCAUUAGUAAGAUUACUUUAUUGAUGCUUAAUUGUUUUAACAGCUUUUAUGUAAUUUAGUAUAAUCAUUCGUAUUUGUCAAUGGAUGCCGUUCUCAAAAGUGUCACAGAUGCUCCGCGGUCUUGCCAUUUUGUCGUUCGCUAAAAAUUAAAGUAUAUUGACCGUAAUAUCGAAAAAAAAAAAAAACGAUUUUUGGAUGCGGCCCGUGCGUUUGUACAUAUUUUUCGAAUGAAAUACUUAUCACAGAGUCGAUACGGAGUGAUCCGUUUUCGAUGUUCGUGCGGUUUUCAAAGAUGCGACACCCGAAAACCUACAAAUGCGUAAAGAUUAUAUAUCACACGUUACGUACAACGGACACAGCGUUCGACUGUAAUAAUCGUCUCCAUUGUCGAGAAAUAUUUGAUUAAAACCCCGCCAAAAAAAAAAAAACAACCUCGUCUGCGAAAAUGUCUUAAUUCACGUCACGACAAUAAUGUUCUAUUGUUGCAGAUUCCGGUCGUGUUUAGAAAUGUUCGGCACGCAAGACUCGCGAACCUGGUCGGCGAACUGUUCUCCGUCGCGGCGCAAACCAAAAGUGUUUCGUAGUGAAACGCGUCCGGGUGUGCGCGAAAAACAACGCGGCGGGCCGAGCGUCACAGGCACGGGCACGGGAAGCAAGCUCACGUCAGGGACAACGUCGGGUAUUAAAUUCCAUUCCGAUAAUUAUAAUUUGAUGUUAUUAUAGUCGCG